GACGAACGCUGGCGGCGUGCUUAAUACAUGCAAGUCGAACGGAAAGGCCCUGCUUUUGUGGGGUGCUCGAGUGGCGAACGGGUGAGUAACACGUGAGUAACCUGCACUUGACAUUGGGAUAACUUCAGGAAACUGGGGCUCAUACCGGAUAGGAGCUACUGCUGCAUGGUGGGGGUUGGAAAGUCUCGGCGGUUGGGGAUAGUUUGGCAGCUUAUGAGCUUGUUGGGGGGGUAGUGGAUUACGAAGUCUUAGAAGGCUAGCCCGCCUGAGAGGGUGACCGGCGACAAGGGUACUGAGGGACGGAGCAGUCGGGUAUGUGACGCAACGGGGGGGAACAUGACACAAUGGGCGGGAGCGAGAGGCAGCGACGCCGCGUGCGGAAAGACGGCCUAUGGGUGGAGAACAGCUUUCUACUGUGACAAGGCGUGAGUGACGGUAAUGAGUAAGAAAGCACCGGCUAACUACGUG
This 468-nucleotide ribosomal RNA is filed under the name uncultured bacterium. RNAcentral's name for it is "partial 16S ribosomal RNA". It matches the Rfam family "Bacterial small subunit ribosomal RNA", at positions 28 to 507 of the family's 1533-position model. The record is from RNAcentral.